Long non-coding RNA from Centrocercus urophasianus (Greater sage-grouse), 674 nucleotides. RefSeq lists it as uncharacterized. The record is from RefSeq and is a predicted model, not a curated record. NCBI's taxonomy places the organism in Eukaryota, Metazoa, Chordata, Aves, Galliformes, Phasianidae. The transcript is spliced from 3 exons.
GCUAUCAGCGAGCAGAUCUCACCGACUGCCACCAGCCCCGCCGUCAUUUAGCUGCCAAACAAACGCUGAAAGCAAACACUGGGCGCACCUCGGCCGGGAGACGGAGGGGAAAAGUUCAAUCGUGUAUCUGCCGUGCAAUGAGUCCGCCGUGAAAUGACGGAGCAGCCGUCGAGACGAGCGAGCGCGCUCACGGAAUUCCUUCACUCGUGCGGUUUGCGUCGCGGGGCGGCACAGCGCGGCUCCCCGCUGGCACCGAGCGCGGCCAGGACGGCACGGGGCGCAGAGGCCGGGCAGGGGCGGCGAACCAUCAUCCAUGCCAAUUCAAGAAAAGGCUGAAGAACUGGCAGUGAAAUGCAACCUCUACUACCACAGAGGAAGUGCAAAACUGCUCUAACUGGAAUGCUAUACAUAGAAAGCACUUACAUCAUAUCCUCUGAGAACAGCCAGGUGGAAUGAAAGCAACUGGAGAGGAAUAACACUCAAGAUUCCUUGAAGGCAGUCAACUGUGUGAGGCAGCUCAAUGGUUUUGUAGGCAAAUUUUGAGCUUUCUGUGUCUUCCUUAGAACACAGGAUGAUUGGACGACCCUGAAAGUAAAGUUCUACAGUUAAGAGCUGCUUUGAAAUAUUAGUUCACAGCAUAUCUGUACUAUGUUUGAAAAAAUAAAGAUAGCUAA